RNAcentral lists this ribosomal RNA (1356 nucleotides) under uncultured bacterium. RNAcentral's name for it is "bacterial SSU rRNA". It matches the Rfam family "Bacterial small subunit ribosomal RNA", at positions 45 to 1379 of the family's 1533-position model. The record is from RNAcentral.
UGCCUAAUACAUGCAAGUCGAACGAAGUAAUUUGGAUAAGUUUACUUAACUAAAUGACUUAGUGGCGAACGGGUGAGUAAUACAUAAAUAACCUGCCCCGAUGUCUGGAAUAACAGUUGGAAACGAUUGCUAAUGCCGGAUAUGAUAUUUGGAAGCAUUUCCUAAUAUUGAAAGAUGGGAUACAUCGCAACGGGAUGGAUUUAUGGCGCAUUAGUUAGUUGGUGAGGUAACGGCUCACCAAGACGAUGAUGCGUAGCCGGCCUGAGAGGGUGACCGGCCACACUGGGACUGAGACACGGCCCAGACUCCUACGGGAGGCAGCAGUAGGGAAUUUUCGGCAAUGGGGGCAACCCUGACCGAGCGACGCCGCGUGAGUGAAGAAGGCCUUCGGGUUGUAAAGCUCUGUUGUAAGGGAAGAACUGUACGGAUAGGGAAUGAUCUGUACUUGACGGUGCCUUACCAGCAAGCCGCGGCUAACUACGUGCCAGCAGCCGCGGUAAUACGUAGGUGGCGAGCGUUGUCCGGAUUUACUGGGCGUAAAGGGAGCGUAGGCGGAUUUUUAAGUGAGAUGUGAAAUACUCGGGCUUAACCUGAGUGCUGCAUUUCAAACUGGAAGUCUAGAGUGCAGGAGAGGAGAAGGGAAUUCCUAGUGUAGCGGUGAAAUGCGUAGAGAUUAGGAAGAACACCAGUGGCGAAGGCGCUUCUCUGGACUGUAACUGACGCUGAGGCUCGAAAGCGUGGGGAGCAAACAGGAUUAGAUACCCUGGUAGUCCACGCCGUAAACGAUCAAUAAAGGGUGUAGGGGUUGUCAUGACCUUUGUGCCCGCCGCUAACGCAUUAAGUAUUUCCGCCGGGGGAGUACGGUCGCAAGAUAAAAAUUCAAAGGAAUUGACGGGGGCCCGCACAAGCAGCGGAACAUGUGGUUUAAUUCGAAGCAACGCGAAGAACCUUACCUAGACUUGACAUCUCCUGCAUUUACUCUUAAUCGAGGAAGUCCCUUCGGGGACAGGAUGACAGGUGGUGCAUGGUUGUCGUCAGCUCGUGUCGUGAGAUGUUGGGUUAAGUCCCGCAACGAGCGCAACCCUUAUUGUUAGUUGCCAUCAUUAAGUUGGGCACUCUAGCGAGACUGCCCGGGUUAACCGGGAGGAAGGUGGGGAUGACGUCAAAUCAUCAUGCCCCUUAUGUCUAGGGCUACACACGUGCUACAAUGGUCGGUACAAUAAGACGCAAGCCCGCGAGGGGGAGCAAAACUGGAAAACCGAUCUCAGUUCGGAUUGUAGGCUGAAACUCGCCUACAUGAAGCUGGAGUUGCUAGUAAUCGCGAAUCAGCAUGUCGCGGUGAAUACGUUCCCGGGC